GGACCCAUAGCUCAGUGGCGGAGAACCUGCUUUGCAUGCAGAAAGCCCUGGGUUCAAUCCCUGGGGGGCUCCA
Phrynosoma platyrhinos (Desert horned lizard) is the source of this 73-nucleotide non-coding RNA. The record is from the annotation of a GenBank genome assembly. NCBI's taxonomy places the organism in Eukaryota, Metazoa, Chordata, Lepidosauria, Squamata, Phrynosomatidae.